CAAGCGGAGGAGCAUGUGGUUAAUUCGAUGAUACGCGAGGAACUUACCUGGGCUCGAACGUAAGAUGACUGUAGGUGAAAGCUUACAUCUCUUCGGAGCAUUUUACGAGGUGCUGCAUGGUUGUCGUCAGCUCGUGCCGUGAGGUGUCGGGUUAAGUCCCAUAACGAGCGCAACCCCUACCUUUAGUUGCCAUCAGGUAAUGCUGGGGACUCUAAAGGAACUGCCUACGCAAGUAGUGAGGAAGGCGGGGAUGACGUCAAAUCAGCACGGCCCUUACGUCCAGGGCUACACACGUGCUACAAUGGCCGAUACAGAGGGCAGCUACCUGGUGACAGGAUGCAAAUCUCCAAAGUCGGUCUCAGUUCGGAUCGGAGUCUGCAACCCGACUCCGUGAAGCUGGAUUCGCUAGUAAUCGCGCAUCAGCCACGGCGCGGUGAAUACGUUCCCGGGCCUU
RNAcentral lists this ribosomal RNA (454 nucleotides) under uncultured Sphingobacteriales bacterium. RNAcentral's name for it is "bacterial SSU rRNA". It matches the Rfam family "Bacterial small subunit ribosomal RNA", at positions 926 to 1382 of the family's 1533-position model. The record is from RNAcentral. Lineage: Bacteria; Pseudomonadati; Bacteroidota; Sphingobacteriia; Sphingobacteriales.